GUGGUAGAUCAGGGCCCACUGUGAAGGGCCUGCUUGCGGUGCUGAGUCAGACCUGAGGCCUGCCAGCUGGGUUUUAAGGGCUUCAAGUGGUGGAGAGUUGAGUUUUAGGAAGACCACCUAGGGCAGCGUAGACACGAUGAUUCGGGAAGAGGCUCCCUGAAGCAGCAGGUGUAACGCAGAGCUUCUCGAGUUAGGGUGCCUCCGAAUCCCCUGGAGGGCCUGUUAAAGCACAUGGUGCCAGGUCCCACUGCCAGAGUGUUUAGGUUCCUACAGGGGGGCUGGAGGCCUGAGCAUCUGAAGUUCUGGCAGAUUCCUAGGGGCGGCUGCUGGUGGUGGUGAAGCUCUUCGGUAUGUGGGCCUGGCUCAGGGUGCUGCUGAGUUUAAACUUUAGCUCUUCCGCUUGUAGCUAGCCAAGUGGCCUUGGCCAAGUCCUCUAAUCUGUGACCCUCAGUUUCCUCUUCUGUAAAUGGGAUACUACCCAGUUCGAAAGGAUGUAAGAAUCCAGUGAGAUACUGUUUUUAAGCUCUUGGCACAGUGCCUGCAGUCAGCAUCAGUAGGUUUUAUUAUUUUUAUUAAUACCAGCGAGGAGCCUGUUGCAGAAUUGCAAGGGAGAGGUCAAGGUGAGGCUGAUAGGCUGGUGACGGACGGGUGGAGAGGAGGGGAUCUGUUUUCUCUGAGGCUCCAAACCCUGUGAUCCUUCCAGCACUUGGAACUGUUGAAACCUGCCGGCUGGCCCCUGUCUGGCCACUAGAGGGCAGUGGAGCCAAGGCUUCCCAAGGAAGGCGCCUGCCCAGAAGGUUGGGGCUGGUCUGUGCAUUCAGCCUUUAGUCCUGUUCUGAAGCCUAAUUGUGUAUUUGCAUUGCGCUGUUCCCUCCCUCCUUACUCUAUGUACUUGCUGACGUUUUUGGAAAACACUUUGCAUCGCAGGGCACCUCUGAAUUCUUGCUCGUCUUGUGGCCUGGGAUUAGCCGUGGCUGAAGCAUCCUGCUUUCUGGCAGCUGUGUUUAUUUCUCAAGGGCACAGGCAGAGCAGAACAUGGGGGCUUGGGCCCUGAAGCUCAGCAGAGCCUGGGAUGAACCACAGUUGCUCUUCUGCCAGUUCAAAACUUGGGGCCUGUUCCAUCUUGCAUUCCUCCCCCGCUCCCCAGCCCUUGCCUGCACCCUUUGAUCCUGUGGGUGGAGAAAUAGAGGGAAUUCCAAAUCCUUGAUCCAUUUUGAAGGCUGGCUGGAAGGAAGGCUUUCUAGGGGCCUGGUAAACAGCGCUGGUUGAAUCAUUUCAGAGAAGUGCAGUACUCUUUCAAGGUCAUAGAAUGUGGUGAGGGAAGGAAAAAAACUGGAAGCACAUUUAUAAUAUUUGAUGGUGUACCUUGUGCCAAGCCCUGUAUGUUGAUGAGUUGCUUUAUUCCAUAAGAAUAAUAUGAGGUACCAAUGACAGCAGCCUGCUCUUAUUGAUUGUGUGAUAUGGGCCAGGCUCUGUGCUAAGUGAUUUUCACAUAUUUGCUCUUUUAACCCUAAUAACUGCCCAUGAGCUAUUAUUAAUCCUGAAAGGACUGAGACUUAGAGAGGUUGCAGUAGGAUACCCAGGGCCAAAGAGUGGUGCUGUUAGAAAUUCAAACCUGUGUGUCUCACUCCAGAAGCCAAGCUCUUUCUUUCAGAAAUACUGGGCACGGUCAAUUCUCCUUUUAGCCCAGCUCUUUGCAGAAGUGGAGCUUACAGACAUUAGGAAGGAGAAGGCCAGGUUUAUGACAAAGCAGCCUAUUAAGUACUCAUGAUCACACUGCAUACUGGACUAGUUAAGAGCAUGGAUUUAGGACCAGAUUGCCUGGGUUCAAAUCCUGGCUCUGCCACUUACCAUCUCAGUAGGGCAAAAUCUUUGACAUCUGAGUCUUAGUUUCCUCAUUUAGGGAUAAAAUGGCCAGUAGUGAUAGUAGCUACCUCACUGGUUUGCGCUGAAGGUUAAACGAGUUAAUACAAGUGAAGUGCUUAGAUCAGUGCCUGGCACAAAGUACAAGUGUGGUCAACAUUAGCUGUUAUUAUCAUUAUUUUUAACUGUCAUGCCGUAUUCACCUCUGUAUUCUCAGUGCCUGGCUUAUACUAGUGGUUGGCAAAUGUUUAUUGAAUGAAAUGAGCCCUUGAAUUCAGAAAAUAUUUUCUGAGCUCUGGAGGGUGCCAGGUGCUGGCUUGGUACAUAAAUGACUCCGUUUAGACCCUGUCCUCAGGACGUCUUAUUCUGGUAGGAGGGGUCAGGCAUGGGCUCUAAUUACCACACAAGGCAGAAACGUUCUAACGGAGGUCCUGAUGCAGGUAAGAGCACUUCUGGAGUGGGGUAGGGGCUGUGGGCCCGUUUCAGAGGGGACAGCCUUUGAAUUAGGCCUUGAAAAUGGUGGAGGAGAAGGAGGGGAAUGGUGGGCUGGGCCAGAGAAUUCAGGCUUCUUGGGCCCAAUAUGUCUGCAACUUCACAAAAGACCACUGAAGCAAGCUAGAUUUUUAUUCAUUCAACAAAUAUUCAUCAGGCUAGUGUUGCAGUCAGGCACUGAGACACAGUGGUGGCUUUGACCCAGUCCCUGCCUCAAGUGAGCUGGGUCUAAUAGGUCAACAGCCAAGGACAUAAGUGGUGAUAAUUCAGUGAGAUGAAGGGAGCGUAUUGACUUGGAGCCUCUUAGGUGCAUGUGAGAGACACUUGACUCGGACUGAUUUAAGUAGAAAGGAAAUUCACUGGCUCACAUACCUGGAAUAUAUUUAGAUGUGGCUGGAUCCAGGAUCUCAAGAUACGUCCUCAGGAAAUUGUCUCUCUCCAUCUCUUAUCCCUGCUUUUCUCUGUGUCGGCUUCAGUCUCUGGCAGGCUGUCCCCUUGUACAGUCACAGGUGGCCCCAGCAGUUCCCAUCCUCCCUAUUACCAGCUCAGAAAUCCCAGUAGAAAGAAGGUGCCUCUUUCUCCGUGGUUUCCUCUGGUGUCGAGGGAUUGAGUCUCAUUGGACAUCUUUGGUCACAUGCAUUCCCUGUGACCAGGAGGAUCAUCUGUACCCGCUGCACGAGAUAGAGAGAGUACAGGGCAUGUCACUGCUGCCCAAAUCACUUGGACUGAGGUGGUGGCGGGUGGGGUGGGUGUGAUUCCCCCCCAAAAAUCAGAUGAGGUCACCUGAGGAAGGCAAAAUGAAUGUUUUAGGUAAAAUCCACAGAUGUCUAUCACAACUACCACAUGGAAACAGAAUAAGCCACCAGUUAAGAGCCCUGACUCUAGUUCUCAAGGAUGGAAUCCCAGUUCCAGUGUUUACAAGUUGUGUGACCAUGGCUGGAUCACUUCACCUGUCAGUCUGAGUCUCAAUGUCCCUGUCACAAUGUGGAAGUAAUGGUUCAGGAAUGUAGCUUUGGAUCAGUGUGAAAGCACGUAGCAAAGGGAUCAGGCAAGCUCCAGGAAGUGUCCCUGCCAUUUGGUGUGGCAUGAAGUCUGAAGUCUCCAGAUUUUUACCUGACCAGUUCCAGGGCAGCUGUCCACAGAAAGGCAGCCAAAGUCCCCUGGGUUCAAAUCCUCAAUCUGCCACUCACUGGCUACAUUUUCCUCCUCCAUGAAGUGAAGAUCAUCAUUCCUGCCUCCCAGGGUUUCUGGGAGAAGUGAGGAGGUGAUAUAUGGACAGUGCCUGGCACGUAUCUGUCUGUAACUGAUAGAUGUGUUCUCUGUACAGUGAUUACUCCAGAGCAUGCCAGGAGUCCAGGUGCGACUCUGGCAGGACAGACCACGUGUUCUGUGAACAAACAACCGUCCUUCUGGAUAAAGGGUGCAUUUGGCCAGCAGCCAAGGGCCCUGGGAAGGCUUUGUGUAGCCUGGCCCUUCCUUCCUUUCAACUUGCAGUGGGUGCAGCCUCACAGAGAUUCAUGUUUCACUCAUAAUCACCCCUCAGGCUCUACUAUCAGCCUGUCUUUCAUUUCCAUCACAAGGCUUUCUGCCAGACAGUUUGACAGAAUCUCAUCUGGAGUGUGUUAACUCUUUUUUCCUCGUGGCUGGCAGAGAUCUGGGAUCAGCUCUGCGUUGGGACAAGUUGUAAGUGCGUGCACAUUUACUCAAAUGUGGCCCCUCCUCCCAUCCCAUGGCCUUGUCUUAGAUCUGGGCAACUUCAAAUCAGGGAACCAAAGAAUGCUUGGAAAGGACUUUACAAGUCAUUUAAUUCAGCCUACCCAUUUUAUAGAUUAAAUUGAAAAUGUUUGGUUAAGUUGCCCAUGUUUACAUAAAUAACUUGAAGAUACAGAUAAAGCUAGAGAUCGGGUCUUAUGACUCCUAGUCCAAAACUUUUACCAUAAUAACCUGGUGUUUUAAUCAUUCAUUCACUUUUCCAGCAACAUAUAGUGAACAUCUGUUGCUGUAUUCCAGGUCCUAUUUUAGGCCCUGUGAAAACAAGUUGAGUAAGAAACAAUCUCUGCCCUUGAAGUGCUUAUGAUCUCUUCAUCUAUUCAUCCAUCCAUCUGUCUAUCCAUUAGCUCUUCAUCUUUCCAUUAGUCGACUUCUCCACCCAUCCAUGAAUACAUCUGCUUAUCUCUUUAUCCAUUCAUCCAUUCAUCAGUGUGUCUGUAAGAUCCCAAGUUCCCCAAAACAAUCUUUACUCUUUAGGCUUUCGCAUCUACUGGGGGGAAUACAAAGAAAGCUGCCUCUAAGGUAUGUAUGAAGGGCUCUGGUUGUCCACAAAAAGGGACUUGCAAUUCUGCCUGUUAUUUGUGAGAAGGCUCUUUCUUAGGGUGAAAAUAGAGCUGCACUGUGGGUAGGAGUUUCCAGUGAGGAAGAUGGGAAAGAAGCUGCUAGGCUGAGGGAACAACAGGGGCAAAGGCAUGAGGAUGUCUGGUGAGUUGGGUAGGGAGAGGAAUUUCAUUUGGUAACUCCUCCAAGGAGUGAACUGGCUGGCUAAUACCUGUUCUAACAGCCCUAUGAGAGUUGACAUCAUGGCCUGAAUCAAGGUGUUGACAGUGGAGGUAGGACCUAUGGGGUGGGAUUUGAGCAACUUGUGGAGGAAGAGUUAAUGGUGACAUAUUGGAUGAGGACCCUGAGGGAGAGGGAGGAGUCAGAGAAGACUUCAGGAUGCCUGAAUGGGCGACAGGUGACAAUGCCAUUUGCUGAAUUCAAGACCGCAAGAGGAAGAGGAGUUUUUAGGGGGACAGGGACAAUAAUGCAUUCAGUUUUAGACAUGCUGCUUUUGAGGCAUCUGUGAGAUAGCUGGGGAGAUGUGGAGGAUGAAGUUAGUUAUAGGCUUUGGGGCUUAUGAGAGAUGGAGCUGGGAGUGGACAUGGUGAGCUGUCUGGAGUGUGGAGUGUCGACUGCGCACAGAACAGCAGACAUAAAGCUGGAGUGGAGGCUGGGGCUUACACCUAC
This is a long non-coding RNA of Equus asinus (donkey), 5355 nucleotides long. NCBI's taxonomy places the organism in Eukaryota, Metazoa, Chordata, Mammalia, Perissodactyla, Equidae. The record is from Ensembl.